UCCUGGAUAGCUCAGUUGGUUAGAGUGUGGUGCUGAUAACGCCAAGGUUGCAGGUUCGAUCCCCGUACCGGGCA
Non-coding RNA from Podarcis lilfordi (Lilford's wall lizard), 74 nucleotides. The record is from the annotation of a GenBank genome assembly. NCBI's taxonomy places the organism in Eukaryota, Metazoa, Chordata, Lepidosauria, Squamata, Lacertidae.